RNA transcript from Orcinus orca (killer whale), 10850 nucleotides. It is a transcript of the gene named heat shock factor binding protein 1 like 1, with no coding region annotated. Lineage: Eukaryota; Metazoa; Chordata; Mammalia; Artiodactyla; Delphinidae. The record is from RefSeq and is a predicted model, not a curated record. The transcript has 3 exons.
GAAACGUACAAGGAAAUGAAACACAGACGGAGAAGGAAGUCCUGGCGGGGCUGGAGAAGAAAAGUGGUGUUCCUCCUUAGCCAGAUCCUCCCCCGAGCUCUGGAGCUCCAGAAUGUUCUGUCCUCUUUAUGGUGGAGGUUGGAGUAGGGAUAUAGUCUUCCCUCCCCACGCACCGGAGCAUCUGAGGCCACUGCAUCUGGCCCUGUUUGUCCUGGAGCACGUGGGCAAAGUGGUGCCCGUCCAUAGCCAGCUGCUGCCCUGGACCCAUCAGCUGUGCCAGGUGGAGCGUGGACAGCAAACGCCUCCAGAGUCCUGCGAAGUGCGUACAAUCUUGCAUUCUUGACCCAAGAUUUUGCCCCACAGAAGGGGCCUGUAAUCCUUGUGAACCCCACCUGUCUGGAGUAGAGGGGCACCCACUGGUCCAGAACCAUCGCUCAAGCAGAAGGAGAGAGCUCAUGUCGGCUGCUGCACAUUACCUGGCUUCCUGUGUUACAAACAAAAGAAGCCGGCCAAACUGUGCAGUCUGAAAAAUGAAACCCAGAACUAGCACAUCCUAGUUCCCGGAACCUGUGAACAUUACCUUCUGUGAAAAGAAAGAAAUUGCAGAUGUGAUUACGUUAAGGACCUUGCGAUGCAGAGAUUAUCCUGCAUUACCCAGGUGGGCCCUAAAUGCUAUCACGUGUAUCUUUAUAAGAGAGAGGCAGAAGGAGACUCGAGACACACAGAGGCCAUGUGGUGACGGAGCAGAGAGAGGUCUGAAGAUGCGGCCUUGAAGGCUGGAGUAAUGCAGCGCAGGAAUGCUGGCAGCCAGCAGCAGCUGGCAGAGGCGGGGAGCGGAUCCUCCCAGGAGCCUCUGGAAGGAGCAGAGCCCUGCCAACGCCUUGAUUUUGACCCAGUUAAACUGAUUUCAGAUUUUUGGCUUCCAGAACCGUGAGAGAACAAAUCUCUGCAGUUUUAUGCCACCCAGCUUGUGGCAGUUUGUCACAGCAAACCACUGGGAACUAAUAUAGAAUCCGUAAAGCGAAAGAGAAGCACCUUCUCAGAAAAACAUGGCCCCAAGGAAGUCAUUGCCCGCAGACCAGCCCUGUAAGGAAUGUUUUGUUUUGGCCGCGUUGGGUCUUCGUUGCUGCGCGUGGGCUUUCUCUAGUUGCAGCGAGUGGGGCUACUCUUCCUUGUGGUGCACGGGCUUCUCGUUGUGGUGUCUUCUCUUGUUGCAGAGCACGGGCUCUAGGCACACGGGCUUAGUAGUUGUGGCGCACGGGCUUAGCUGCUCCGUGGCAUGUGGGAUCUUCCCGGACCAGGGCUCGAACCCAUGCCCUCUGCAUUGGCAGGCGGAUUCUUAACCACUGUGCCACCAGCGAAAUCCCCAACCCUGGAGGAAAUGUUAAAAUAAGUUAUUUAGUCAGAAGGAAAAUUGGAUCUCCAUAAAGAAACGAAGACCCUCAGAGAAAGAAUAAAUGAAGGCAACUGUGGGCCACAGACAGGUGCCCACUGAGAGGCUCAGAAGUACCUGUGAAUGCUAGCAUGGGGUGGGGGGUGGCCAGGAGCCAGCCCCCAGCCCCAGAGUUUCUACCUCUGAGGGGCUGACAGCAAGACACUGAUUUUCCUGAAGUGAAAAAAGCCGAGCUGAUUUUAUUUUUACUCGGCAAAGAAAGCUGUUUCUUCAUUGUGUAUUUUCCUUGGGGUGGCCUUUGAGAGGAGUUGUUGGAGUGGUGGGAACACCAACACUGACACUGACCAAUGCAGAAUAAAUACCAGAUGCUGGGCUGGUCAGAGCAAGAGUUGGGGCAACCUUGGAAGUAAGUAUUUAAAAGCUUUUAAAGAAGUUUAAAGGUUGGAGAGGAUUCUGGGAUGAUGGCAGAGCAAGAAGCACCGGGAAUGGCCCCCACCUGGACCACAACUGCAGGGACAGAAUCUGUCUGAUGUAACUAACUUGGAAUCCAGAGCUGGUUAAGGCUUGCAAGUUCCAGGGGAAGUGCUGGAUGGUUACUGCAGUCAAUUGUGGUGACUUUCAGGUCUUAGCACGUAGCACCUUCCCGUCCCACCCUCAGCCACAUGGCAGGAGGCCUGUUUCUAGAGCAGCUUGCAGAAGCCAGCCAGGGUGGACCAAAAGGACCUUGUCCUCCAAUAUCAGGAAUCUGUGCUCUGAUGCUGCUUAAGAUGGCAGAGAUGCAGCCAAAGAGGCAGGUGGCCAUUGUUGCCACACCUCCCCCCUUGUUGCAAACCCCUCCCCCACCAAGUGGAUUUCAAGGGCGAGUGCCCCAUUUAUCCCCCUUUGUUUUUCUCUUUUCCCCCAUUUUCAAGCCAGACAUUAAAGACUAGGGCAUUGGAAAACAACUGCAUAGACACGAAAAGACAGAAAAUGAUGGCACAUGCCCAGGAAAGGCUCAGGAAAGACCUGAGCAGACAUUAAGUUUCCACCUCAGGCUGAGCCUCAGCUCAGACAACCUACAACAAGCAAAGAACAAAAACAAUAACAAAAAGCAUCAGACCUUGAGGAAGGGGGAGAAUCCGAUUUCCAGAGUUACCACAUUAUUGGAUUCAAAUGUCCAAUUUUCAGCAACAACAAAAUAAAAAUCACAAGGCAUACAAAGAAACAGGACAGUAUGACCUGUUCAAAGGGAACAAUUAAUUAAUAGAAACUGGCCCUAAAGAAGACCUGAUGACAGAUCUACUCGAUGAAGACUUUAAAACAACUGCCUUAAAGAUGCUCAAAGAACUAAAGGAACGUAGAACGUUGAGAAAGCAAUGUGUGAACAGUGGAGCUAUCAGUAACGAGGGAGAAAACCUAAAAGAAACCAAAAAGAAAUUCUGGAGCUGAAAAGUACAAUAGCUGUAAUGAAAAACUCACUAGAGAAAUCAAAGGCAGAUUUGAACAGGCAGAAGAAAGAAUCUUUCGAAAAUCUAUCUUAUUUCAAGUUCUAAACAGCUGGCAGUAAGACAUUGGUCUAUGUCCAAAUUUGAGAAAAUGAAGACCCUUUCUGCCUUUGGGGAGGUUUAAGCCAGUUCCUCCUUUUCUGUUUUCCUCAAUCUGUUCAUUCUGCAGUUUUGACUGCUUGUUCACACACCGAAACCCCUGGAGGGCUUUAAAACCACAAAUGCCAAGGCGUCCAGAGUGCUGACGAAUGUUACGUGGCUCUAUCGUGCAGCCAGGUCUGAGAGCCACUGUUUUAAAAUUCACAACUAGUACCAGAAGUCCUCAUGACUCAGGAUAAUUGCUUCUGGGAAAGGCAACUUACUGUAAAUGGGGCCAGAAUUGCAUAAUAAAUAGUACGUUAAAAAAAAUAGUUAAUUAUGUUGCAUUAAAAAUAAAAGUUAAGGGCUUCCGUGGUGGUGCAGUGGUUGAGAGUCUGCCUGCCGAUGCAGGGGACACGGGUUCGUGCCCCGGUCCAGGAAGAUCCCACAUGCCGCAGAGUGGCUGGGCCCGUGAGCCAUGGCCACUGAGCCUGCGCGUCUGGAGCCUGUGCUCCGCAACAGGAGAGGCCACAACAGUGAGAGACCCGCGUACCGCAAAAAAAAAAAAAACACAAAAAAGUUAAAAUUAUGAAAACAUUGCAACAAUUUUAGAAUCAAUAAAAGGAAGCAAAAAAUUCUAUGCUCAAAUCUGUAUGUCCAAAUCAGUACCCUGAAAGAACCCUUCUUUGCUUACAGAAUUUUUAAGUGAGAAUUUCAAACAUACACAAAAGUAGAGAUUAUAGCACAGUGAAUUCCAUGUAUCCAUCACCCAGCACCAAUAACUAUAAAAAAGCUCUUUUAAUGAAUAUAAAAUAAAGAACAGCACCGUCUAAUCAGCAGCAUUCCUCCCUUUCUUGGCAGUAAUGGUGCAUCUUAAAAUCAGCAGCGUCUUAGGUUGAAGGCCUUAGAAAUGAAGCCAUUCACGUGGAAUCAAAGGAGCAUCUGGGCGCUUCCACCUGCAUUCACGCCUCACAGGAUAGAACUUCCUCUUACAUUCGGUCACCCUAUAAUCUCAUCUAUCAAAGUUAAAAUUUUACUUUUCUAAUUUGAAGUUUUGUUUCAUAUUUAGCUGCUGCUCUUGUGGUCUGUGUCUUUGAUUCCAUUAGGUACUUCUUACCUAGACUCUAUUUUCCUCCCCAAACUAUCUUUGCACCAUUAAAAACAUCAUCUAAUUUCUGCAGCUUCACAGCACACUUGAAUACUCUCCUAUUGUAGAUUUGCAAGAUGAAUUGCGUUUGAGAAUUUUUCCCCUGAACCUAGUUCCUGAAAUUUAAUAUCCUUAACAAAAUGAAUUUUUGUUGAGUGAUUCUUGCUUCCAUAUUAAUGAUUUUGUCCCCCACGGAUGCAGAACUAAGAAUUUGAUCCCUAAUUAGGCAGCAUAGGUGAAAAACCAUUCAGGUGCUAGAUGUAGGAUGACAGAUUCUAUUUCUCCAUUAGAGAUUGGGUUCUCAGGGUUAUCAGAGAAUGUCUAGUGGGUUUCCACUGGACCACAGAGAUUACAGUUGAGAAAGAUAGACACAUACUAAAAAACACAAAGGGGUAGGGAAAGAGAGUCACAGGUUUCCUAGCUCCUGGAAUUCUUAGCCUAGGCUUUGAAGCUGGGGUGAUGUACUUAAAAUAUAUGUAUAUUGUGGUAGAAUAUACAUAACAUCAAAUGCAUCAUCUUUAUUGUUUUUUAUUGAAGUACAGUUGAUUUGCAGCAUUGUGUUAGUUUCAGGUGUAAUCUUAGCCAUUUUUAAGUGUACAGUUCGCUGGCAUUAAGUACAUCCAUACUUGUUGGGCAGCCAUCACCACCAUCCAUCUGCAGAAUUUUUCUUCUUUCCAAACUGAAACUCUGCGCUCACUAAACACUAAUGCAUUUCCCCCUCUCCCCAGCCCCUGGCACCCACCGUCUGCUUUCUAUCUCUGUGCAUUUGACUGCUCUGGGGGCCUCAUGUAAGUGGAGUCGUGCAAAACCGGCCCCUUUGAUGACUAGCCUCUUUCACUGAGCAUAACUCCUCAAGGCUCGUCCACUUUGUAGCAUGUGCCAGAAUUUUCUUCCUUUUUAAAAAUAAACUAUAUAUAUAUUAUUUUAUUUAUCCAUUCACUCAUCCACCGAUAGACACGGGUUGCUGCCUCCUUUUGGCUCUUGUGAAUGAUGCUGCUAUAAACAUGGUGUACAAAUAUUUGUUCAAGUCCCUGUUUUCACUUCUUUGGGGUUUAUACCCAGAAGUGGAAUUGAUUCAUAUGGUAACUGUAUGUUUGAUUUCUUGAGGAAUUGCUGUAGCAUCCUGAUUCCCGCUCUUAGGGAGCCCUCCAGGCUCCAGCCUCUGGCGUUCCCGAGGCUGUGCCUCCCCGAGGGUGGACCUAGGCCGUCUCCACCAGAUCCACCUGGGGAGACCCCUGUCACCCACCGCUACCUCCAUCCACUCUGGGCGAGGGCCUGGGGCUUUGUUUCCACGGGUGAAUCCACCUCCCCAGUGGCCCGCUGUGCACACCUGAUGCUAGUCGCCCUGGUCAAGCUGUUCUGGAAGCUUGAACUGAAAGAACCUCAGGCCAGGCGGUGGCCACACAGAGAGGCCCCUCCAGGGAAGGGGCAGCCCUCACGGCUCUUUUUAGCAUCUUGCCACACAGAAAAGUGGCAAGACGGCCAUGCUUUUGAAAAGUUAUUGUAUUUCUCCAAAGAAGACAUGCAGAUGGCCAACAGACACAUGAGAAGAUGCUCUACAUCGUUAAUUAUUAGAGAAAUGCAAAUCAAAACCACAAUGAGUUAUCACCUCACACUGUCUACAAAUAAUAAAUGCUGGAGAAGGUGUGGAGAAAAGGGAACCCUCCUACACUGUUGGCGGGAAUGUAAAUGAGUGCAGCCAGCCACUAUGAUAAACAGUAUGGAGGUUCCUUAAAAAAAAAACUGAAAAUAGAUCCAACAAUCCCACUCCUGGGCAUAUAUCCAGAAAAGAUGAAAACUCUAAUUUGUAAAGAUACAGGCACACCCAUGUUCAUAACAGCACUAUUUACAAUAGCCAAGACAUGGAAACAACCUAAGUGUCCAUCAACAGAUGACUGGUUUAAGAAAAUGUGAGAUCUAUAUAGAGAGACAUAGAUAUACAGAGGUAUAGAUACUCAGCCAUAAAAAGAAUGAAAUAUUGCCAUUUGCAGCAACAUGGAUGGAGCUAGAGAUUAUUAUACUAAGUGAAGUAAGUCAGAGAAAGACAAAUAUUAUAUGCCAUCACUUAUAUGUGGAAUCUAAAAAAUAAUACAAAUGAAUGUAUAUACAGAAACAGACUCAGACAUAUAAUACAAAAUUAUGGUUACCAAAGGGGAAAGGGAAGGAGGGAUAAAUUAGGAGUACGGGAUUAACAGAUACUCACGACAAUACAUAAAACAGAUAAGCAACAAGGAUUCACUGUAUAACACAGGGAACUAUAUUCAGUAUCUUGAAUAACCUAUAAUGGAAAAGAAUCUGAAUAUAGAUCUAGAUCUAGUAUAGAGAUAGAGGUAGAUAUCUGAAGCCUUCUGUUGUACACCUGAAAACUAACGCGAUAUUGUAUACUUCAACUGUACUUCAAUUAAAAAGUUACAACUUUAACAACCCUAUUGAGAUGUAAUUCACAUAUAUAUGCGAUACAAUCCACCCAUUUAAAGUAUACAAUUCAAUGAUUUUUUUUUUCUUUCUUUUUUUUUCGGUACGCGGGCCUCUCACCGUUGUGGCCUCUCCCGUUGCGGAGCACAGGCUCUGGACGCGCAGGCUCAGCGGCCACGGCUCACGGGCCCAGCAGCUCCGCGGCAUGUGGUAUCUUCCCAGACCGGGGCACGAACCCGUGUCCCCUGCAUCGGCAGGCGGACUCUCAAUCACUGCGCCACCAGGGAAGCCCCAAUUCAAUGAUUUUUAAUAUAUUCACAGGGUUGUGCAACCGUCGCCACGAUUUGACCUUAAAUAUUUAUUUAUUUAUUUAUUUUGGUUGAGCCAGGUCUUAAUUGUGGCACGCGGGAUCUUUAGCUGCGGCAUGCGGACUUCUUAGUUGUAGCAUGCGGGAUCUAGUUCCCCAACCAGGGAUCGAACCUGGGCCUCCUGCAGUGGAAGCGCAGUCUUACCCACUGGACCACCAAGGAAGUCCCCCCACGAUUUGAUCUUAGAAUAUUUUUGCCCCCAAGAAGAAACCCCUUAACUAUGGCACAGUCUCUCCCCUUCCCCCUCAACUUCCUGUCUCCAUGGAUUUGCCAAUCUGGACACGUCACAUGAGUGGAAUCCAACCACGUGUCCUCUUGUGAUUGGCUUCUCUCACUGAGCAUCAUGUUCCCAAGGUUCAUCCAUGUUGUGUCAUGUGUCAGGGCUUCAUUCCUUCUUAUGCCUGAAUUAUAUUCCAUCGAGGGGAGGGACCACAUUUUGUUUAUCCAUUCGUCUGCUGAUGGACAUUUGGGUUGUUUCUACCUUUUGACUAGUGUUAAUAAUGCUGCUAUAGACAUUUGUGUACAUGUUUUUGUGUGGACAUAUGCUGUCAUUUCCCUUGGGUACAUACCUAGAGGUAGAACUGAGAUUCUAUGGUAACUCUAUGUUUAAGUUUUUAUGGACCUGCCAGACUAGCUGCACGACUUUACAUUCCCACCAGCGUGUGACGUUCCGACUUUGCCACACCCUUGUCCACACUUGUUAUUGUCUCUUUUGAUUUUAGCCAUCACAGUGCAUGUGAAGUGGAUCUUGUGGUGGUUUUGAUUUGCAUUCUCAUGAUGACUAAGGAUGUUGGGUUUCUCUGCAUGCAAGGCUGUGUUUCACACACAUUCAGCAACCGGGUGUCCCCACGUAGUCACUUGGCUGGGCUCCCGGGAUGUUGGCAGGACCCAGACAGACACAGCCCUGCCCCACAGAGGGGUACAGACAUGUAAACAAAGCAGGUACUUGCUAAGAACAGCGUCCUGGGACAUCACCCAUAAAAUGCCCCAUGAGCCACAAUCCAGACAGGCCUAAAGGGCACCUGAGGGAGGGAAAGUCACAGUGAGGCCUUCCUUCCAGACCUUCGAUAAAAUCAGAGCAGAGAUGCCAGUGUUGGCAGCCUGUUGGAGUUGGUCACAGAACAUAACUAUUCUUUAACCAUGCAGCGUGUUGCUUGUGGGAUCUGAAUUCCCCCACCUGGGGACUGAACCUGGGCCUUUGGCAGUGAGAGCUUGGAGUCCUAACCACUGGACCGUCAGGGGAGUCCCAGAGCAUAAAUAUUCUUAAUCUUAAAGUUGACAGCAGACAUGGCAGGGGUCCGGAGAGAUGGCCGAGCCUCCUGGAUGGAUGGUCCCAGGUCCCAGGACCGCAGUGCGAACUUGGGCUGUGUGGUGACUGCAGCCACAUUCCAUCCCCACCCCUGCCUCCAGGAUCCCCCAUUAGACGGGUGACAGCCUUGCAAAAACACGACGGGACACAGGGGAAGGUCGAGUGCUGGGGGCUGGUGAGGCUGGGGAGCCGGUGUCUCCUGGAUGCAGAGCUUGGUGUGGGAAGGUUAGGAAGUCGCGGUGGGGGGGGGGGGCGGGGGGUGGUUUGCACAACAGUGUGAACGUACCUAACGCCACCGCACUGCGCCCUGAAAAACAGCGAGAACGGCAACUUGUAGGUUGUGUGUUCUUUGCCACAAUGAUAAUGAAAAGGUCGUGCUCACUCUGGGCUCUGACGCAAUGAAAACGAAGCCAACAGCGUAGCCGGGAUCGGCUGGUCCGGCGAGGUCCCGCCCCGCCCGGACGGCCACCUGCGCCCCGCUACGGCCUCACCUCCGUGCCAGGCUGCUCGGCCCGUUUCGGGCGCACAGCCCGGGCCGCGCGGGUGGAUCCACGGCCAUCGCCGCGGGAGCCGCGGGCGGCGGAGCGGAGCCGACAGAGCCACCGGCCCCGGGACCAGCCGACCCACCUGGACACCCCGCACCCCGGACCCGGGGGACACCCCCAUGGCCGCGCGGAGCCCCGAAGCCCCCAGCGGGCGCGCGCUGCGGGACGCGGCAGAAAAUCUAUUUCAGGAACUUCAAGAACACUUUCAAGCUCUGACUGCAACGUUAAACCUGAGAAAUAUCCUUUUCUGUCUCAUAACAAAUACUGCGGUUGCUUUUGGACUAUUGAACUGUCGUGGACUAUCUUGUUGUUUUCUGUAUUAGUGGAUAAUUGUUGACCUAAGACUUCCUGGUGUUUACGUCUGUGCCUUUACAUGGCAUCCUGAUGUAUUAAUUACCGCUCACAGGUAAUUACUUCCUGCUUGACCAGCAAUACAGGGCAUUUCAUGAGGCAAGGAUAAAACACAAGGACACACGAACAAUACAUACUACCCAGUGGGGCCUCCCAGCAAGCCCUAAAGAAAUCUGGUUAGUCUGCUAAAUAGCAUUUAUACUCCCCCAAACAGUCAACCCUGCACAGGUACUGGUUAGGUCUCCAGCGCAGGGUACGCUAUCUGGCUCUCCUUGCCUUGUUUUGUUUUGUAACUUCAGCAGCUCGCCAUUUGGUAAGCCAUGGAUUCAAACAGAGUUAGGUGGAAUGUUUGUUUCCGGUUUAAGAAAAUCCAGAAAAGGGGACACUUGCCCUAAGACUUGCCCAAGUGAACUCACUUCACACAAUUAAACUCCUGCCUUAAAAUGUGUGCAAAUUGUUUGCAGAGAGAUCCUGUAGAUGGGCUCCCACAGGGAAAAAGAGAUUCUGAAACAGGAUAAAAUUAUAAACAGUAGGAAAGUUUGUUUUAAACACAGUUAAUUUUCAUUGUAUUUACAUACUGAUUAGAGUUUGGUUAAAACAUAGUUAAACAUACCAGACAACCUCAUAUCCCCGAAUCCAUGUCCACGGAAAGGGAGCCAAGGUUUCAGAACCGGGCUCAGCGUGCAAAGAUUAAAGGCACGUACAGACACUCAGGGAUGUGAUUAAUGUGCACUGACUUAAGGUGUUAGUACACAUCCGCUGCCUUUGAUUCCCUCAUUUUAGAUGCACCACAGGGCAUUUUUAUCAGCCCUGGUGAUGCAGUUUACGUGGAGGCUUUGAGGGACCUGGGUAGGUGCCCGUAUUCCAUGUGCUGUUCUCCUUAACCUCGUACUGGAAGAAAUGGGAGGUCGCAUUGAAGACUUGCAGAAGAAUGUGAAUGACUUGAUGGUGCAAGCUGGGAUUGAAAGUUCUGCUCAAGAGCAAAUGGCAAGGCCUUAUUAAGGCACUCAGGUGUUCACCGUUUACAUAUCUUCUGCUUUCAUCUUGAAACAUUUAAGCCCAUAUUUGUUCACUAAGGGAACUACUGCUUCUGCACUACAUGAAAAACCUUCAGGAAUAAUAAAAAAAAUUCACAAAUGCUCUUUUCUAAAUGGAACAGAAACACUCUUUGUCAUUGUUCCUUAAAAAGUGCACAUUUUAAAGGAAAACUAUUAUUUAAAAAUUGGAUUUUGUUAAAGUACUUUUCACCCUCAUCCCUCAAAUUAGUUUUCAAUCAAAACACAAGUCAUGAUGAAUGAGUGCUUGGGGAUGACAACUAGUGGCUUCUGUUUGAGACGUUCAUGGAAGGAUUUAAAGAAGACACAUGUGCAUUAGGUUCUCACCCCAGUUCAUGAGUGGUUCCUGAGGAGCCCACCCCGCCCCCCAGAAUGCAAAUAUUUCUUUUCCAGUGCAAUUUUGCAUUUCAUCUUUUUUCUUUUACUAUUUUAUUUUUAAUUUUUAGUCUUAUUUUUUAAUUGAAGGUUUUAUUGUAGUUGACGUACAAUAGUGUAUAAGUUAUAGGUGUACAAUGUAGUGACUCACAAUUUUUAAAUGUUAUACUCCAUUUAUAGUUAUUAGAAAAUAUUGGCUGUAUUACCCAUGUUGUACAAUGUAUCCUUGUAGCUUAUUUUAUACAUAAUGGUUUGUACCUCUUAAUCCCCUACCCCUAGUUGCCUCUCCCCCUUCCCUCUCCCCAAUGGUAACCACUAAUUUGUUCUCUA